AAGUAUGAAGUGAUAAUUCACUAUUAGUUUCGACCUAAUCUUAGAUAAUUUUAAUCCUUACUUA
RNAcentral lists this transfer RNA (64 nucleotides) under Neuronema laminatum. RNAcentral describes it as "tRNA-Arg". The record is from RNAcentral. Lineage: Eukaryota; Metazoa; Arthropoda; Insecta; Neuroptera; Hemerobiidae.